GCUUUAUUUCUUGUUUUUAAGACGAUAAACCUCUAUUUUAGCAAAUGAGCCAGUAGUAGAAGAUCAGCAUAAAUCCCACCUCACAAAAUGUGACCCGGGACUGGCGCGGCAGAGCGCAGGGAGGACAGAUGGAGAUGGUUUUGUUUUCUUUUUGGCAUCUGGGACUCAAUGGAAGCGUGGACUGCAAAGGGACAGAUUUGCAAAUGAACUUAUUUUCUAAGGGAUAAAUAAAUCUUAUAUAUUCAUAGACUUGCAACAACAGAUUCAUUCUGUGCACUCAAGCCCGUUGGAGACCCUGAUCUAAAUCUAUUAUAGAGUCUAUUCUUGUACUGAUUUGAAAAAAAAACAUUUGCAAUAAAAUUUCUAAACUCAGCAGUGCCUGCAUUCAUCUUCUGCCUUCCCUGCACCUGGGGCACCCCACGCCUGGGAGCAGGAACAGGUUUUGUGCCAGUUCUUGUGGCUGGUCCUGCACCCCGGUGGCCAUUUCUCAGGGGGUACUGGGCCAGGCCUCGGGCAGCCCUGCACUGCAGGAGCGUGGCCGGCUGCUCCCCGCACGCAGCCCUCGGGGCUGGUUGUGGGGAGGAAGAGGCCGGGUGCCAGGCAGCUCCGGGACCCCCUGGCAGUGCCAAACCAGCCUUGGCGCAGGCAUCCGGCCUGGCCCCGCUGCCUCCUGCAAAGGCCCUGGCAGCAGCUGUCCCUUGGGCUCUGCAGCGGGAUUUGCAGCCAGAAACGCAGCGUGUCAUAGGCAGGCGCUUGGGGUUGCACAGCACAUCCCCGUGCCUGCUGGCACAGCCCUGCCUCAGCACCGCACGGGAAGAUGGGCAGAGCCGGGGCUCCCCAGACCCCAAAACAUCUGCAACCCCAAGGGCCAGGCACAGCCCCCCAGCCCUGCAUGCAACCCCCCUCCUUGAACAGGAGGGUUUUUUUCCCCCCCAAAUCACUCCCUGGCUGUACCCUCACACUGCAGCAAUAGCACAAACACCUCUUUGGUGCAAGGGUCCCUGGCAGCAAGGGAAAUCGAGGCACAGGCUGCAGCCCGCAGAGCCGCAGGCACCCCAUCUGCCUGGGGGCUCCCAGCCCCGCGGCUCUGCA
RNAcentral lists this long non-coding RNA (1092 nucleotides) under Struthio camelus australis. Its description in RNAcentral is "lncRNA (ENSSCUG00000003824.1)". Lineage: Eukaryota; Metazoa; Chordata; Aves; Struthioniformes; Struthionidae. The record is from RNAcentral.